GACGAACGCUGGCGGCGUGCUUAACACAUGCGAGUCGAACGGAAAGGCCCUGCUUUUGUGGGGUGCUCGAGUGGCGAACGGGUGAGUAACACGUGAGUAACCUGCCCUUGACUUUGGGAUAACUUCAGGAAACUGGGGCUAAUACCGGAUAGGAGCUCCUGCUGCAUGGUGGGGGUUGGAAAGUUUCGGCGGUUGGGGAUGGGCUCGCGGCUUAUCAGCUUGUUGGUGGGGUAGUGGCUUACCAAGGCUUUGACGGGUAGCCGGCCUGAGAGGGUGACCGGACGGAGGGGGAACGGAAGGGGGGCAGGAGUCGGGCGGAGGGCAGAAGGGGGGAAAGUUGGACACAGCGGCGCAGCGUGAGGGAGGGACCCCGGGGGGGGGAGAACGGCUUUCGGGAGGGAAGCCGGCUUCCCCGGUGAGGAGGCGGGGUGACGGGAGAUGGAUAAGAAGCCACCGCUAACUAAGUG
Molecule: ribosomal RNA, 467 nt
Filed under: uncultured bacterium
Lineage: Bacteria
Description: partial 16S ribosomal RNA
Rfam family: Bacterial small subunit ribosomal RNA
Source: RNAcentral